This 1378-nucleotide long non-coding RNA is filed under the name Mus musculus (house mouse). RNAcentral's name for it is "maternally expressed 3 (ENSMUSG00000021268.20)". Lineage: Eukaryota; Metazoa; Chordata; Mammalia; Rodentia; Muridae. The record is from RNAcentral.
AAAAAAAAAAAAAAAACAAAAACAAAAAACAAAACAAAACAAAAAACCCAAAAAAACAAAAAACAAAACAACUGGGUUGCUUUAGGGAAGCCCGGCUUGGAGUGGACAAUGGUGUCCAGGCCCCUGAAAGGGGCUGAUUGGAUUAUGAGGCAAAUGGAGGCAGAAGGAGCACGCAGGAGACAAAUGCAGUGGGCGGAGACCCGCUCUGAGUUAAUCAGGCUGAUUGAAGGGACCUUUUCUGUCUUGCCGAGUGGCCCGGGGGGGCUCUCACUAGUGCACUGCUGUGUGCACAUGGAGACUGGAGCUACCCUGGUCCCUCUCUGGCAACUGUUCAUUCAUUUGAUGCUCACAACUCCCUGUCCUGACCCAGGGCCGGCCUGCCAUCACGCAGGGAAGCAGAGGUCGCCAAGCGGUUUCCGACGGGGCCCCCCCACAUAACGUUAGCCUCGCGGUCUCUUCGGUUUUAGCAGCAGUGGACAUGAACCUGUUUCCAGCCUGCAUCCUCCAGUUCCUCUCGGGACUCCUGGCUCCACUGUGCUCACCUGGAGCCCCGCCAGCCCGCCUCCCCCUGUCCUCCUUCCUCGCCACUCCAGUGUCUGUCUUUCCUUCACAGCCCCGGCUUCUCGAGGCCUGUCUACACUCGCUGCUUUCCUUCCUCACCUCCAAUUUCCCCUCCAACCCACUGCUUCCUGACUCGCUCUUCUCCAUCGAACGGCUCUCGCUCAGGCCUGUCGCGUCUUCCUGUGCCAUUUGCUGUUGUGCUCAGGUUCCACGAGCUGCCCAUCUCCACAGAAGAGCAGCUGGCAUUGCCCACCGGCCAUGCCGGCUGAAGAAAAGAAGACUGAGGACCCCAGGAUGCCCAGCGCGAGGACCCCAGGAAGCCCAGCGCGAGGACUCCACCCACGACGCCCAGCGCGAGGACUUCACGCACAACACGUUGCAACCCUCCUGGAUUAGGCCAAAGCCAUCAUCUGGAAUCCUGCGUGGGACCCUGGACACACGGACACAGACACCUGCCCCCAGGACCCUCCAACUGUAAAUCCCUCUACAGCCACGGGGACGCCUUGCACAUUUCCUGUGGGACAUGCUGGACCCAAGACUCUGGACCCUGGCCUCCCCUUGAGUAGAGAGACCCACCUACUGACUGAUGAACUGCGCUGACCCUGGGGUCAGGCAUGUGGCCUUGAUCCCUACCCAUGGACCCUGAGACUUGGGGGGGUGGGAGAAAGGCUGUUGUGUCUUCACUGUUGAGUCUACAUCUGUGAAAUGGGCUCAGGUUCCUACCUCACAGGGCUGUUGUGAGGCAGCCGCAAUGUGCUUAGAAGCAUGGGGCCUAGUGGCUCAUGGUGCUUUCAAUAAAUUUCUUGUUUUAACUAAA